GCUCAGGAUGAACGCUGGCGGCGUGCUUAACACCCUUUAGUCGAACGGAGAUGUUAUGUGAGAGGAGACAGCUUGCUGGAUCUGAUCUUUUAACAUUUUAGUGGCGGACGGGUGAGUAACGCGUGGGUAACCUGCCUUAUACAGGGGGAUAACACUUAGAAAUAGGUGCUAAGACCGCAUAAGCGCACAGUGCCGCAUGGCAGAGUGUGAAAAACUGAGGUGGUAUAAGAUGGACCCGCGUCUGAUUAGCCAGUUGGCAGGGUAACGGCCUACCAAAGCGACGAUCAGUAGCCGGCCUGAGAGGGUGGACGGCCACAUUGGGACUGAGACACGGCCCAAACUCCUACGGGAGGCAGCAGUGGGGAAUAUUGCACAAUGGGGGAAACCCUGAUGCAGCGACGCCGCGUGAGUGAAGAAGUAUUUCGGUAUGUAAAGCUCUAUCAGCAGGGAAGAAAAUGACGGUACCUGAGUAAGAAGCCCCGGCUAACUACGUGCCAGCAGCCGCGGUAAUACGUAGGGGGCAAGCGUUAUCCGGAUUUACUGGGUGUAAAGGGAGCGUAGACGGUUUGGCAAGUCUGAAGUGAAAGGCAUGGGCUUAACCCGUGGACUGCUUUGGAAACUGCAUGACUGGAGUGCAGGAGAGGUAAGUGGAAUUCCUAGUGUAGCGGUGAAAUGCGUAGAUAUUAGGAGGAACACCAGUGGCGAAGGCGGCUUACUGGACUGUAACUGACGUUGAGGCUCGAAAGCGUGGGGAGCAAACAGGAUUAGAUACCCUGGUAGUCCACGCCGUAAACGAUGAUUACUAGGUGUCGGGGGUAACAGAACCUUCGGUGCCGCAGCCAACGCAAUAAGUAAUCCACCUGGGGAGUACGUUCGCAAGAAUGCAACUCAAAGGAAUUGACGGA
RNAcentral lists this ribosomal RNA (905 nucleotides) under uncultured Bacillota bacterium. RNAcentral's name for it is "bacterial SSU rRNA". It matches the Rfam family "Bacterial small subunit ribosomal RNA", at positions 22 to 917 of the family's 1533-position model. Lineage: Bacteria; Bacillati; Bacillota. The record is from RNAcentral.